UUGGAAGACUCCACCAUUACAGGCAGCCACCAGCAGAUGUCAGCAAGUCCUUCCUCUGCACCUGCAGAAGAAGCAACAGAAAAGACCAAAGUGGAAGAGGAAGUGAAAACCAGAAAGCCCAAGAAGAAAACCAGGAAGCCCAGCAAGAAAAGCCGGUGGAAUGUCCUGAAAUGUUGGGACAUUUUUAAUAUAUUUUAGAGACCUCUGAAGAUUCCUCGAACACCAGGAAGGGCCCCGAUGUGGGGAUGUCAACAUGGCUCAGACUUGAUGUGGAUCGUGAUCAUUUCGGGAAAUGUGUUACUCCAAAAACUUUUAUAAUCUUUGCUUAAUUUGUUUUUAAAUACUUUCCUGGCUGGGCGUGGUGGCUUAUGCCUGUAAUCCCAGCACUUUGGGAGGCCGAGGCGGGUGGAUCACCUGAGGUCAGGAGUUCAAGACCAGCCUGGCCAACAAGGUGAAACCCCGUCUCUACUAAAAAUACAAAAAUUAGCUAGGCGUGGUGGCACACUCUUGUAGUCCCAGCUAUUUGGGAGGCUGAGGAAGGAGAAUCACUUGAACUCAGGAGGCAGAGGUUGCAGUGAGCCGAGAUCAUGCCACUGCACCCCAGCGCCUGGC
Molecule: long non-coding RNA, 612 nt
Filed under: Pan troglodytes (chimpanzee)
Lineage: Eukaryota; Metazoa; Chordata; Mammalia; Primates; Hominidae
Description: long non-coding RNA NONPTRT013850
Rfam family: Metazoan signal recognition particle RNA (bases 352-468)
Source: RNAcentral